UGGGGAAUAUUGCACAAUGGGGGAAACCCUGAUGCAGCGACGCCGCGUGAGCGAAGAAGGCUUUCGAGUCGUAAAGCUCUGUCCUAUGAGAAGAUAAUGACGGUAUCAUAGGAGGUUGCCCUGGCUAAAUACGUGUCAGCAGCCGCGGUAAUACGUAUGGGGCGUGCGUUGUCCGGAAUUAUUGGGCGUAACGGGUAUGUAGGCGGGUUUUUAAGUCAGGUGUCAAAGCGUGGAGCUUAACUCCAUUAAGCACUUGAAACUGAAAGACUUGAGUGAAGGAGAGGAAAGUGGAAUUCCUAGUGUAGCGGUGAAAUGCGUAGAUAUUAGGAGGAAUAACGGUGGCGAAGGCGACUUUCUGAACUUUUACAGACGCACAGGUACGAAAGCGUGGGGAGCAAACAGU
This 403-nucleotide ribosomal RNA is filed under the name Verrucomicrobiota bacterium. RNAcentral's name for it is "Verrucomicrobia bacterium partial 16S ribosomal RNA". It matches the Rfam family "Bacterial small subunit ribosomal RNA", at positions 355 to 776 of the family's 1533-position model. Lineage: Bacteria; Pseudomonadati; Verrucomicrobiota. The record is from RNAcentral.